Molecule: ribosomal RNA, 478 nt
Filed under: uncultured prokaryote
Description: bacterial SSU rRNA
Rfam family: Bacterial small subunit ribosomal RNA
Source: RNAcentral
AGUUUGAUCCUGGCUCAGAAUGAACGCUGGCGGCAGGCCUAACACAUGCAAGUCGGACGGAAACGAUGGGAGCUUGCUCCCAGGCGUCGAGUGGCGGACGGGUGAGUAAUGCUUGGGAAUCUGCCCUAUAGUUGGGGACAACCUAUGGAAACGUAGGCUAAUACCGAAUGUGCUCUACGGAGUAAAGGUGCCCACUCCUUGGAAGGUAUCGCUAUAGGAUGAGCCCAAGUUAGAUUAGCUAGUUGGUGAGGUAAAGGCUCACCAAGGCGACGAUCUAUAGCUGGUUUGAGAGGAUGAUCAGCCACACUGGGACUGAGACACGGCCCAGACUCCUACGGGAGGCAGCAGUGGGGAAUAUUGCACAAUGAGGGAAACCUUGAUCCAGCCAUGCCGCGUGUGUGAACAAGGCCCGAGGGUUGUAAAGCACUUUCAAUGGUGAGGAAAAGAUAAAGGUUAAUACCCUUUAUGUGUAACGUUA